AUUGACAGUUCCCUCCUCUUUGUCUGUCUCUCCCUUCCCCAUGGCAUUCAAUUCACUCACGAGCUGUCCAUCAAGAACCGUUAAUGCCGGUGCACUUCGAAUCUCCUCAACAUAGUUGAUCUGAUCGACCGGAAACAUUUGAUCUGAGAGACCCAUAUCCUGCUUGCGGAAGAUGAAGCUACUCGGGCUGACCCAGCGCGCGUUCAUGGCUUCUCCCCUGUCCGUCAGGGGAACGAUAAGGUCGGUAUUUCACCGAGGAAGCGUCUCCUCUUCCUAUUCUGCUUCUGCCUCCUCCGCUGGUUUGAAAUGGGAAGGUGGGGUUUCGAUGGUGCAGGGAGCUUCCAGAGGAAUCGGCCUUGAAUUUGUCAGGCAGCUCCUGCAGAAAUCCGGAAAAGGGCAUGUUGUUGCCACAUGCCGCAACCCCAAUAGGUCAUCCGGGCUUCUUGAUCUGAAAAAUAUGUUCCCAGAGCGGCUUAGCGUUCUGCCACUAGAUGUCACUGUUGAAAGUACCAUUGAGGAUUCCGCAAAGCUCAUUACAGAAAAAUAUGGCUCUCUGAACCUUCUUAUCAAUGCAUCGGGCAUUCUUUCAAUACCUGACGUGCUGCAACCAGAAACAACAUUAACCAAAGUAGAGAAGUCAUCGUUGCUGCUUGCUUAUGAGGUUAAUGCUGUGGGUCCCAUACUGGUGAUCAAGCAUAUGUGGCCUCUUCUGAAGGCUGGAGGUGGAACCAAAAGAGAGGUUGCAAUCGUGGCCAAUUUGAGUGCGCGGGUGGGAUCAAUUGGGGAUAAUCGACUCGGUGGUUGGCACUCAUAUCGAGCUUCCAAGUCUGCACUCAAUCAGUUGACGAAGACUGUCUCGGUUGAGUUUGCUAGAAAGAAGGAUCCGAUCGCAUGCAUUUUAUUGCAUCCCGGAACUGUGGACACAGAUCUCUCUAAGCCGUUCCAGAGGAACGUUCCUGAAGGCAAGCUAUUCACGAAGGAGUAUUCGGUCCAGAGACUUCUCGGUAUCAUUGACAAUGCAAAGAGGCAAGAUAAUGGCAAAUUCUUCGCCUGGGAUGGUCAAGAAGUACCAUGGUAAUCCUUAAGUAAUUGGAAGGAACAAGAUGGUUUUGAAUGGGAAAGAUCUCAUCUCAUGGAAAGAGUUUUAUUAUCAAAGCUCAACUGAUUGAUUGAAGGGAAGAUUACAUUAUCAGAGGCAUCAGUGGGUCUUUGCAUAAGACGCAUAUGUUUUAUUCUCUGUGUUUCUCUCUUCCAUAUUGCGGGAGGCUGACUCGAUCAUGCGUCCAUAUCAACAAUCUUUUGACAUCAGCGAAUCCUGCAAGCAACCAAAGGUCAAGUUUAUUCCCAAUUUCCAAGAAAGUAUACUAUUCGUGAGAGUCCGCUUGCCGCUUGAUAUGUACUUUGGGCUGGACCAGAUCAAAUGGAUUAGGAUUUCUCUGAACUUAUCCUGACAUAAAAGUUGGUGUUCAUGGAAACGGUGGAUUCGAACUUGACGUUGCAGGCUGUGGAGAUCUGGUCAAUUAGCUGACUUGCACGUUCACGGAUGGACUUGGGUGCUGCCUUGAGGCACCUACAGAUGGCCCUCUUGUCAUUAACCGAGCGCAUGCUCUGUUCAAGCUGGUUCAGCCCAUCACAGCACCCAUCGCGAACAUGGCACACACAGGUCCCUUCUGCAUCACUGUGCCACAUGAGAUGUCGGCCUGGCCGAGAAGGAAGAGGAGGAAGGUGGUGACUAUAAGGCUCUUCAUGGUUGCUUCUUUGAUGUAGUUGCAUUAUGAGGGUGGUGAAAGGUUUAUUUAUAUAGGCUCACAGAGGAGAGAAUUGG
Punica granatum (pomegranate) is the source of this 1825-nucleotide non-coding RNA. NCBI's taxonomy places the organism in Eukaryota, Viridiplantae, Streptophyta, Magnoliopsida, Myrtales, Lythraceae. The record is from RefSeq and is a predicted model, not a curated record.